UUUAUUUAGAUUUCCAUUUGGUGGUAUUGCAUCUGUAUUUUGGACAGUUACUAUAAUUUGACCAUUUUUCCAGCUAUGAUCACCAACUUGAGACAACUAAAAUUGUUGAAGAUCACACAUAGCUACGUAAUGUUACAGUUUUACUUGUACGUGUAAAUGAAUAUCGAGGAUGGCAGCUGAAAACAACGCAAUUAGACAUUUUA
Molecule: long non-coding RNA, 203 nt
Organism: Xenia sp. Carnegie-2017
Lineage: Eukaryota; Metazoa; Cnidaria; Anthozoa; Malacalcyonacea; Xeniidae
Exons: 2
Source: RefSeq, a predicted model, not a curated record